Molecule: long non-coding RNA, 426 nt
Organism: Canis lupus familiaris (dog)
Lineage: Eukaryota; Metazoa; Chordata; Mammalia; Carnivora; Canidae
Exons: 3
Source: RefSeq, a predicted model, not a curated record
AAGAAAAACAACGGCAAGCUGAAUUACAGGAAAAAAAGGAAAUAGCAGAGAAAAAGUUUAAGGAAUGGUUGGAAAAUGCAAAAAAUAAACCUCGUCCAGCUGCAAAGAGCUAUGGUUAUGCCAAUGGAAAACUUACAGGAACCGUCAAGAAAAGAAGAUUUGUUGUGACAAUACAAAGUUCAAACUGGAAAAUUGGAAGUGAAUUGUGAACCUGUAAUGCCAAUCUCCUCCGUGAUAUCUGAAUUUCUACAUACCAGCCUCUGCUUGAAACACAUUUAGUGGGAUCCCUGGGUGGCGCAGCGGUUUGGCGCCUGCCUUUGGCCCAGGGCGCGAUCCUGGAGACCCGGGAUCGAAUCCCACAUCGGGCUCCCGGUGCAUGGAGCCUGCUUCUCCCUCUGCCUGUGUCUCUGCCUCCGUCUCUCUCUC